Molecule: ribosomal RNA, 255 nt
Filed under: uncultured bacterium
Lineage: Bacteria
Description: partial 16S ribosomal RNA
Rfam family: Bacterial small subunit ribosomal RNA
Source: RNAcentral
GAAGCAAAGCCGCGAGGUAGAGCAAAUCUCAAAAAAACAAUCUCAGUUCAGACUGCAGGCUGCAACUCGCCUGCACGAAGUCGGAAUUGCUAGUAAUCGUAGGUCAGCAUACUACGGUGAAUACGUUCCCGGGCCUUGUACACACCGCCCGUCAAACCAUGAGAGUUGGCAACACCCGAAGUCGGUAGUCUAACCACAAGGAGGACGCCGCCGAAGGUGGGGUUGAUGAUUAGGGUUAAGUCGUAACAAGGUAAC